UAUAGUGACCACCUCCCAUCUUUUCUAUCUUUUCAAUUCAGAACAUAACAGUAAUAAUGGCUCCUCUCUCCUCUCCUUUCCCUUUCUUUCUUCUCUUUUCUGCUCCACCACCACCAUAGCCGACAAACUCCAACCACCCUCCGCACGACCCAUCUCCUCCACCCCCAAAAACCCGCCAACUCUACAGUGACGGUGAAAUCAAGCACUAUUUGGUACAAAAAAUUCAAACCGCCAUUGAUGGUCAUCUUUUCAAAUUGCAGAUCUUUUUAUUUUUGGUUAAAUUUGAGUUUCGAAUCCUGACUUUCAAGUACGGAUUCACCUAUAAAUUGUGUUCUCAUUGUCUCUAGAGCAGAGGUCGGAAAAUUGGAGGAAAAAAAUUGAAACAAGCUCUGAGAUAAGGGGGGAAGAUUGGAGAGGGAGUUAAAAAUAUUUUUUUUUUGAGUUUUCGGAUCCGUUGGCAAGAAAAAGAAAAUUCAUCGGUGAAUUUAUUGUUUCCCUUUCUAUUUUGUUACAAGUUUGGAAUCCUAGUUGGGUUCAUAGUCGCCGGAAAGCUUUGUCGUUAAAGAUCCAGUUUGCUGCCCAACACAAGGAGUUGGGGUUCUGCAACGGAACUCAUCUCGACCCAACAUUGGGUCAAUGCUACUAGGAGCAAAGCUUCGGAGUCGAGCAAAUUAGAAGCCCAACUCAUAAAUGGAGUCUAGUAUCUCUUAUCUUCUUUGAAUUUAAUUUAUAUUUGUCAUGUUGAGUUUUAGAACGACACUAACUCUUGUUAUUGAAUUUUUUUUUAG
Capsicum annuum is the source of this 788-nucleotide long non-coding RNA. RefSeq lists it as uncharacterized. NCBI's taxonomy places the organism in Eukaryota, Viridiplantae, Streptophyta, Magnoliopsida, Solanales, Solanaceae. The transcript has 2 exons. The record is from RefSeq and is a predicted model, not a curated record.